UUGCUGUGAUGACUUAUCUUAGGACACCUUUGGAAUCACCAUGAAAGGAAGCUGUUCUGAGCAAC
This 65-nucleotide small nucleolar RNA is filed under the name Octodon degus (degu). RNAcentral's name for it is "Small nucleolar RNA SNORD58 (ENSODEG00000021421.1)". It matches the Rfam family "Small nucleolar RNA SNORD58". From Rfam's summary of the family: snoRNA U58 is found in introns 1, 3 and 6 of the ribosomal protein RPL17 gene in humans. U58 is a member of the C/D class of snoRNA which contain C (UGAUGA) and D (CUGA) box motifs. Lineage: Eukaryota; Metazoa; Chordata; Mammalia; Rodentia; Octodontidae. The record is from Rfam by way of RNAcentral.